AGGACGAACGCUGGCGGCGUGCUUAACACAUGCAAGUCGAACGGUGAAGCCCUUCGGGGUGGAUCAGUGGCGAACGGGUGAGUAACACGUGGGUAAUCUGCCCUGCAUUCUGGGACAAGCCUUGGAAACGAGGUCUAAUACCGGAUACGACGCAUCUCCGCAUGGGGUGUGCGUGGAAAGCUCUGGCGAUGCAGGAUGAACCCGCGGCCUAUCAGCUUGUUGGUGGGGUGAUGGCCUACCAAGGCGACGACGGGUAGCCGGCCUGAGAGGGCGACCGGCCACACUGGGACUGAGACACGGCCCAGACUCCUACGGGAGGCAGCAGUGGGGAAUAUUGCACAAUGGGCGAAAGCCUGAUGCAGCGACGCCGCGUGAGGGAUGACGGCCUUCGGGUUGUAAACCUCUUCAGCAGGGAAGAAGCGCAAGUGAUGGUACCUGCAGAAGAAGCACCGGCUAACUACGUGCCAGCAGCCGCGGUAAU
This 481-nucleotide ribosomal RNA is filed under the name uncultured bacterium. RNAcentral's name for it is "SSU rRNA". It matches the Rfam family "Bacterial small subunit ribosomal RNA", at positions 26 to 524 of the family's 1533-position model. The record is from RNAcentral.